GCACAUUGAAGGUCAUGAGAUGCCUGA
This 27-nucleotide non-coding RNA is filed under the name Homo sapiens (human). Lineage: Eukaryota; Metazoa; Chordata; Mammalia; Primates; Hominidae. The record is from RNAcentral.